GGCUUCUCCCCUUUCCAUUAAAUGCAUAACAGAAAUACAUAGAUUUGUUCCGAGACCAGAGAAAAGAAGGGAAAGAGAGAGAAGCGAGCUCAGAGCAAUGCUAGGAAACCCACCGCCUUGCGGCUGUCAUCAGGAACACAAGGCUAUGGGGCGAAAACCUAGCAUCACCCAAAACCCCGCCACGACUCUAAGGAGGAUAGAGCAACAUCCAGUACCGC
This 218-nucleotide long non-coding RNA is filed under the name Hordeum vulgare. RNAcentral describes it as "long non-coding RNA (HVUL_LNC008057)". The record is from RNAcentral. Lineage: Eukaryota; Viridiplantae; Streptophyta; Magnoliopsida; Poales; Poaceae.